RNAcentral lists this ribosomal RNA (520 nucleotides) under uncultured Scutellospora. RNAcentral's name for it is "SSU rRNA". It matches the Rfam family "Eukaryotic small subunit ribosomal RNA", at positions 569 to 1092 of the family's 1831-position model. Lineage: Eukaryota; Fungi; Glomeromycota; Glomeromycetes; Diversisporales; Gigasporaceae. The record is from RNAcentral.
AGCAGCCGCGGUAAUUCCAGCUCCAAUAGCGUAUAUUAAAGUUGUUGCAGUUAAAAAGCUCGUAGUUGAAUUUCGGGGUUCUACCGUUGGUCGGGCUACCAAGUCUGUACUGGUGUGUAGAAUUCCUACCUUCUGGGGAACUAUCAUGUUAUUAAUUUAGCGUGGUGGGAAACCAGGACCUUUACCUUGAAAAAAUUAGUGUGUUCAAAGCAGGCUUAUGUCUGAAUACAUUAGCAUGGAAUAAUAGAAUAGGACGGUGGUCCUGUUUUGUUGGUUUCUGAAUCACCGUAAUGAUUAAUAGGGAUAGUUGGGGGCAUUAGUAUUCAAUUGUCAGAGGUGAAAUUCUUGGAUUUAUUGAAGACUAACUUCUGCGAAAGCAUUUGCCAAGGAUGUUUUCAUUAAUCAAGAACGAAAGUUAGGGGAUCGAAGACGAUCAGAUACCGUCGUAGUCUUAACCAUAAACUAUGCCGACUAGGGAUCGGACGAUGUUAAAUUUUAUUGACUCGUUCGGCGCCUUACG